This 1976-nucleotide ribosomal RNA is filed under the name human gut metagenome. RNAcentral describes it as "bacterial LSU rRNA". It matches the Rfam family "Bacterial large subunit ribosomal RNA", at positions 296 to 2131 of the family's 2925-position model. The record is from RNAcentral.
UGUUGCGGGAUCGCGUGCGCCGGCUCCGACGGGCCGGCCGGCAGUUGCAGAAAACCAUGUGUCAGGGGAACCGGGUUGAAUACCGGGCCGCAGAGGGUGAGGGCCCCGUACCUGAACGCGCAUGGUCUGCCGAUCGCGUCUCCCAAGUAGCACGGGUCCCGUGGAACCCCGUGCGAAUCCGCCCAGACCGUUGGGUAAGCCUGAAUAUUCCUGUCUGACCGAUAGCGAACGAGUACCGUGAGGGAAAGGUGAAAAGUACCCCGGGAGGGGAGUGAAACAGUCUCUGAAACCGUGCGCCUACAAUCCGUCGGAGCCCUUUUGUGGGGUGACGGCGUGCCUAUCGAAAAAUGAGUCUGCGAGUCAGUGGCAUGUGGCGAGCAUAACCCGUGUGGGGUAUGCGUAGCGAAGGCGAGUCUUAAAAGGCGUUUGAGUCGCGUGUCCUGGACCCGAAGCGGGAUGAUCUAGCCCUGAGCAGGUUGAAGCGCGGGUAAGACCGCGUGGAGGACCGAACCCACCUGGGUUGAAAACCGGGGGGAUGACUUGGGGCUAGGGGUGAAAGGCCAAUCAAAUUCCGUGAUAGCUGGUUCUCUCCGAAAUGCAUUUGGGUGCAGCGUCGGGUCAUUACGUCCCGGGGGUAGAGCUACUGGAUGCUUGCGGGCCCGUAUCGGGUACCAACAGCAACCAAACUCCGAAUACCGGUGACGCGUAUCCCGGCAGUGAGUCGGCGGGGGAUAAGCUUCGUCGUCGAAAGGGAAACAGCCCAGACCGUCGUCUAAGGUCCCGAAGCGUGUGCUAAGUGGGAAAGGAUGUGGAGUCGCAUAGACAGCCAGGAGGUUGGCUCAGAAGCAGCCACCCUUGAAAGAGUGCGUAACAGCUCACUGGUCUAGUGGUUCCGCGCCGACAAUGUAGCGGGGCUCAAGCACACCACCGAAGACGCGGCAGUAUUUUGUACUGGGUAGGAGAGCGUCCCAUGAGGGGCGAAGCGGCCGUGUGAACGCGCCGUGGACUUCAUGGGAGUGAGAAUGCAGACAUGAGUAGCGAGAGACGGGUGAAGAUCCCGUCCGCUGGAUGACCAAGGGUUCCAGGGCCACGUUCAUCGUCCCUGGGUGAGUCGGGUCCUAAGGCGAGGCCGACAGGCGUAGUCGAAUGGAUGAACGGGUCGAUAUUCCCGUACCGGCUUUCAGCCGCCAAAACCGAGGCUUGGAGUACUAACCUCCGGGUCCGGGCUUACUGCUCCUUCGGGGGCGGGAUGCCCUGGCCUGUUGGGACCGAUCCUUGUAGUAGGUCAGCGCAGGAGUGACGCAGAAGGGUAGCCGGCCGCGGAGGUGGUCUUCCGUGGUCAAGCACGCAGGGCGUGGGACAGGCAAAUCCGUCCCGCAUGGGUCCGAGGUGCGAUGAUGGGGGCCUUAUGGCCCGAUAUCCGGUGAUCCCGGCUGCCGAGAAAAGCUUCGGCGUCAGGCUCGAAGCCGCCCGUACCCCAAACCGACACUGGUGGUCAGGUAGAGAAUACCAAAGCGAUCGAGCGAAUCCUGGUCAAGGAACUCGGCAAAUCACUCCCGUUCCUUCGGUUUAAGGGAGACCCCCGAUGGUGAACCGCCUCGCGCGGGGAGCUUUUGGGGGUGGCACAGACCAGGGGGUAGCGACUGUUUACCAAAAACACAGGUGCAUGCGAAGGCGCAAGCCGCUGUAUAUGCACUGACGCCUGCCCGGUGCCGGAAGGUUAAGAGGAUCCGUCAGCCUUCGGGUGAAGCGGUGAAUUCAAGCCCCGGUAAACGGCGGUGGUAACUAUAACCAUCCUAAGGUAGCGAAAUUCCUUGUCGGGUAAGUUCCGACCUGCACGAAUGGCGUAACGACUUCCCCACUGUCUCGACCAGGAGCUCGGCGAAAUUGCAGUACGAGUAAAGAUGCUCGUUAAGCGCAGAAGGACGAAAAGACCCCGGGACCUUUACUAUACCUUGGUAUUGGCAUUCGGUGUG